CCGCCAUUAGCUCAAAGGGAGAGCACGCAGAGAUUUGCCUCUGCGGUUCGGGGUUCGAUUCCCCGAUGGCGGACCA
Molecule: transfer RNA, 76 nt
Filed under: Enterobacter kobei
Lineage: Bacteria; Pseudomonadati; Pseudomonadota; Gammaproteobacteria; Enterobacterales; Enterobacteriaceae
Description: tRNA-OTHER
Rfam family: tRNA
About the family: Transfer RNA (tRNA) molecules are approximately 80 nucleotides in length. Their secondary structure includes four short double-helical elements and three loops (D, anti-codon, and T loops). Further hydrogen bonds mediate the characteristic L-shaped molecular structure. tRNAs have two regions of fundamental functional importance: the anti-codon, which is responsible for specific mRNA codon recognition, and the 3' end, to which the tRNAs corresponding amino acid is attached (by aminoacyl-tRNA synthetases). tRNAs cope with the degeneracy of the genetic code in two manners: having more than one tRNA (with a specific anti-codon) for a particular amino acid; and 'wobble' base-pairing, i.e. permitting non-standard base-pairing at the 3rd anti-codon position.
Source: RNAcentral